RNAcentral lists this ribosomal RNA (622 nucleotides) under uncultured archaeon. RNAcentral describes it as "bacterial SSU rRNA". It matches the Rfam family "Archaeal small subunit ribosomal RNA", at positions 147 to 774 of the family's 1478-position model. The record is from RNAcentral.
UAAUACCCUAUAGGUUACAGAUGCUGGAAUGCCCUGUAACUCAAAGUUCCGGCGCCUUAGGAUGGAUCUGCGGCCGAUUAGGUUGUUGUUGGGGUAACGGCCCAACAAGCCAGUAAUCGGUAAGGGUUGUGGGAGCAAGAGCCCGGAGUUGGAUUCUGAGACACGAAUCCAGGCCCUACGGGGCGCAGCAGGCGCGAAAACUUUACAAUGCGGGCAACCGUGAUAAGGGAACCUCGAGUGCCUGUAUAUGCAGGCUGUCCAGGUGUCUAAAGAACACCUGAAGAAAGGGCCGGGCAAGACCGGUGCCAGCCGCCGCGGUAAUACCGGCGGCUCGAGUGGUGGCCACUUUUAUUGGGCUUAAAGCGUUCGUAGCUGGGUUAUUAAGUCUCUUAGGAAAUCCGACGGCUCAACUGUCGGGCGUCUAAGAGAUACUGGUAAUCUUGGAACCGGGAGAGGUGAGGGGUACUUCGGGGGUAGGAGUGAAAUCCUGUAAUCCUCGAGGGACCACCUGUGGCGAAGGCGCCUCACCAGAACGGCUUCGACAGUGAGGGACGAAAGCUGGGGGAGCAAACCGGAUUAAAUACCCGGGUAGUCCCAGCCGUAAACGAUGCGCGUUAGGUGU